ACGAACGCUGGCGGCGUGCUUAACACAUGCAAGUCGAACGAUGAAGCCGCUUCGGUGGUGGAUUAGUGGCAUGACGAGUGGUAACACGUGGGCAAUCUGCCCUGCACUCUGGGACAAGCCCUGGAAACGGGGUCUAAUACCGGAUAUGACACGGGAUCGCAUGGUCUCCGUAGUGGAAAGCUGCGGCGGUGCAGGAUAAGAGGGGAUCGCGGCCUCUCACGCUUGUUGGUGGGGUGAUGGCCUACCAAGGCGACGACGGGUAGCCGGCCUGAGAGGGCGACCGGCCACACUGGGACUGAGACACGGCCCAGACUCCUACGGGAGGCAGCAGUGGGGAAUAUUGCACAAUGGGCGCAAGCCUGAUGCAGCGACGCCGCGUGAGGGAUGACGGCCUUCGGGUUGUAAACCUCUUUCAGCAGGGAAGAAGCGUGAGUGACGGUACCUGCAGAAGAAGCACCGGCUAACUACGUGCCAGCAGCCGCGGUAAUACGUAGGGUGCGAGCGUUGUCCGGAAUUAUUGGGCGUAAAGAGCUCGUAGGCGGCUUGUCGCGUCGGAUGUGAAAGCGCGGGGCUUAACCCCGGGUCUGCAUUCGAUACGGGCAGGCUAGAGUUCGGUAGGGGAGAUCGGAAUUCCUGGUGUAGCGGUGAAAUGCGCAGAUAUCAGGAGGAACACCGGUGGCGAAAGCGGAUCUCUGGGCCGAUACUGACGCUGAGGAAGCGAAAGCGUGGGAGCGAACAGGAAUAGAUACCCUGGUAGUCCACGCCCGUAACGUUGGGAACUAGGU
RNAcentral lists this ribosomal RNA (785 nucleotides) under Streptomyces sp. MHA19. RNAcentral's name for it is "bacterial SSU rRNA". It matches the Rfam family "Bacterial small subunit ribosomal RNA", at positions 29 to 821 of the family's 1533-position model. Lineage: Bacteria; Bacillati; Actinomycetota; Actinomycetes; Kitasatosporales; Streptomycetaceae. The record is from RNAcentral.